AUUGCCUCUUGGCCUUUUGGCUAAGAUCAAGUGUAGUAUUUUAAGAGAAUUAAAUGAGCUGAAAAGAUAAGAGGGUUCUUUCCAUCAAAUUCACAGAUUUUAGCUAUUUCUUACUGAAACAAAAAAAAAAUUUUUUAAAAAACUUGUUCUCAGGGCCAGGGAUUCAGCUCAGUGCUUCUGCUACCUGCCUUGCAAGCUCA
Molecule: small nuclear RNA, 200 nt
Organism: Heterocephalus glaber (naked mole-rat)
Lineage: Eukaryota; Metazoa; Chordata; Mammalia; Rodentia; Bathyergidae
Gene: U2
Rfam family: U2 spliceosomal RNA
About the family: U2 is a small nuclear RNA (snRNA) component of the spliceosome (involved in pre-mRNA splicing).
Source: Ensembl